GACGAACGCUGGCGGCGUGCCUAAUACAUGCAAGUAGAACGCUGAAGGGGGAGCUUGCUUCUCUGGAUGAGUUGCGAACGGGUGAGUAACGCGUAGGUAACCUGCCUGGUAGCGGGGGAUAACUAUUGGAAACGAUAGCUAAUACCGCAUAAGAGUAGAUGUUGCAUGACAUUUGCUUAAAAGGUGCAAUUGCAUCACUACCAGAUGGACCUGCGUUGUAUUAGCUAGUUGGUGGGGUAACGGCUCACCAAGGCGACGAUACAUAGCCGACCUGAGAGGGUGAUCGGCCACACUGGGACUGAGACACGGCCCAGACUCCUACGGGAGGCAGCAGUAGGGAAUCUUCGGCAAUGGACGGAAGUCUGACCGAGCAACGCCGCGUGAGUGAAGAAGGUUGUCGGAUCGUAAAGCUCUGUUGUAAGAGAAGAACGAGUGUGAGAGUGGAAAGUUCACACUGUGACGGUAUCUUACCAGAAAGGGACGGCUAACUACGUG
This 495-nucleotide ribosomal RNA is filed under the name uncultured bacterium. RNAcentral describes it as "partial 16S ribosomal RNA". It matches the Rfam family "Bacterial small subunit ribosomal RNA", at positions 28 to 507 of the family's 1533-position model. The record is from RNAcentral.